GAGGUGGGAGAGGGUGUGAGGAAGAGAGAGCAGCAGAGGUCAUGGCCUGGAGGUUCACUUACCCAUUGCACAGGACGGCGAAAACUGGAGAGGCCAGGCUGGUGGCAAGGAAAGAGGUUUACUAUCAAAAGGCAGCCAGACAAGGAGAUGGGGUUUAAAACUCAGAUCCACCUUCUUGGAGGGAAAAAGAUUACUCGUUCUGGAGGAAUCCAGCUGCCAUGUUGUGAGGAUGCACAAGCAGCCCUGAAGAUCACGAAAUAAACAAAGAGAGAACGUAUUAGAAAACACACAGGGCAGCUGUCCCUGGGAGUCUGGCACCCAGAGCUGCCACAGAACAACCUGUAAUUGUCAACAUCCACUCUCCUGAUUAACAUGGUUCAGACCCCAGGCUCGCCCUGUUGACAUUCUCCUUUGCUGGCUUGAUGAGGCAAGCUGCCAUAUGGAGAGGCCCAUGUGGCAAGAAACAGAGGGGCGCUUGCAGCCAACAGCCAGCAAGGAGCUGAGGUUCUCAGUCUGACAGCCCAUGAGGAAUCGAGUCCUGAACCUCCACGUGAGCUGGAAGCAGGCCUGCCCUGGUUGAGUCUCAGAUGACACCCCAGCCCUGACCGACAUCUUGGUUGCAGCCUUACGAGAGACCCUGAAGCAGAGGGUGCAGCUAAGCCAUAUCUGGGUUCCUGAGCACAGAAAUUGUGAGAUAGUAAAUCUGUCUUGUUUUGAACUGCUAAAUUUAUGGUUACUUAUAACUAACAUGGCAAUAGAGGAUCAUCUUGAAAUAUUAAAUGAUUCACAUUACUCCUAAAUUUGAACAUAUGUAGAUCUAGACGUAAAAUGCAUGAAGCGUGAUACGUUUCUUUACAUUGACUACCAGGCACUGAGCCCUAGGAUUGUUCAUAGUUUUAUUUUUUAUUAUUAUUAUUUUUUUUGGUGAGGAAGAUUGGCCCUGAGCCAUCAUCUGUGCCAAUCUUCCUCUAUUUUGUACAUGGGAUGCCACCACAGUGUGGCUUGAGGAGCGGUGUGUAGGUCUGCACCUGG
This 1032-nucleotide long non-coding RNA is filed under the name Equus caballus (horse). RNAcentral describes it as "lncRNA (ENSECAG00000050435.1)". Lineage: Eukaryota; Metazoa; Chordata; Mammalia; Perissodactyla; Equidae. The record is from RNAcentral.